RNAcentral lists this ribosomal RNA (254 nucleotides) under uncultured bacterium. RNAcentral describes it as "partial 16S ribosomal RNA". It matches the Rfam family "Bacterial small subunit ribosomal RNA", at positions 524 to 776 of the family's 1533-position model. The record is from RNAcentral.
UACGAAGGGGGCUAGCGUUGUUCGGAUUUACUGGGCGUAAAGGGCGCGUAGGCGGCCACCGCAAGUCGACUGUGAAAUCUCCGGGCUUAACCCGGAAAGGUCAGCCGAUACUGCGGGGCUAGAGUGCAGAAGGGGCAACUGGAAUUCUCGGUGUAGCGGUGAAAUGCGUAGAUAUCGAGAGGAACACCUGCGGCGAAGGCGGGUUGCUGGGCUGACACUGACGCUGAUGCGCGAAAGCCAGGGGAGCGAACGGG